RNAcentral lists this transfer RNA (68 nucleotides) under Homolobus sp. QL-2013. Its description in RNAcentral is "tRNA-Asn". Lineage: Eukaryota; Metazoa; Arthropoda; Insecta; Hymenoptera; Braconidae. The record is from RNAcentral.
UUAAUUGAAACCAAAUAGAGGUAAAUUAUUGUUAAUAAUUAAAAUGAAUUUUAAAUUUUCCAAUUAAA